AUCGUGCCCCAACUUUUCUUUCACAACCUCCUUUUUCUUUCUCCCCAGACCCUAAUCAUCUUCCCUACGCGUUCUCUUCUACCACCCUAUCAUGGAUCUUCCGUGGUUUCUAUAUUUCUUCAAUUCGUCUUCUAGCUGUUUAAUGGGUCGUUUCAGGAUGAAGUCAGUUAACUGGACAAGAAUAUGAGAAAACAAUGUUUAAUCCAGAAGAUUGUGAUAAUCACAGGAAUUUAAUAUUAGAUGCCAUUAGCAUCCCUGUAAUAGAAAGUAUUGGAGCAGGUUAGCGAGAAUAUUUUUCAGCGGUUUUUAAGAAAACUAAUGCUUCAGCUGCCCUUUCUGCGUGAGUAUCUCACAGGAAGUGUUUUUAAGAUCAUUGGAGUUGUUUCAAGUGAAGAUGAACUGUUGGAGUGUGCAGAGGAUGAGCAUAUAUAAGUUAGAAUAAGAAGGUUCACCUGCACCGAGCUCAGUAUUGGGCAUAGACAUAAUGGAAAUGGAAAUACAAAUUCAGAAGUUGUGGCAUGGAAACUUCAAACUCAUAUAUGAUGUUCACCUAAGGAAAACUUUCUCAGUAUGUCAACUGAAGAAUCAAUAUGAAACCAAAGACGGUCUUAAACUUUUGAAGACAGUAAUAGCGAAAGCAGGAUACACCGGCAAAGUACAUAUGUUAUUUGGGAUGGAUGUUGCUGCCCCAGAGCUUUAUGCUGAGACGGAGAAGACCCACAAUAUGAAUUUAGAGCUCACUUGAUUUGGGGCGUGGACCAGGGACUUGAUAUGCUGAUUGCAUGUUUAUUUAUCUCAAAUGAAAACUUGAAGUUUUCAGUGGCUCCAUGCCUCCAUCCCCUUAUGCUUAUGACUCAGGGGUUGAAGUAAAUUCUCUUCCUGUUAUCGCUUUAUAGUUUAUGCUUAUGAAUCGCAGGGGCAUCAAUUAAGUGAUAUUAAGUGAAAGAGCAUAAUAAGGGAAAAACUUCUGAAAUUAUAUAUAACUCCAUUUACUUGCUAUCUUAGCUCAAAUGGAAGAGCACGUGGUUCUUAAUAACCAUGUAGUUGCGGGUUCGACUCCCACAUAUGGCAUUGUUAUUUUAAAAUAAGACAAAAACUUGCCUCCUAUGACAGUAUUAGCUCUUCUUGCUGCAGUCUGCAAUGUCCCGCAGAUAUAUGAUCAUAUUGUUCAGUAUUUAUUUUCUGUGUUUUGUUAGCUUAUUAUAGCAGAAUGGAAAAAGCUGAGGUUCUUGGUUUGAUGAGUUUUUUUGUUGGUUUACAUUCAACAACCUAUUGCUUAAGAUACCGUGUCUACUGAAGUUGAUACAUCUUCAAUGCAUAUCAUUUGAAGUCGCUGCUGUGUUUUGGUAGUUUAGUUGUUAAGGAUAGUCUCGGACUGUCAACUGAUAUCACGAUUUAUGAUUACAACUGUACUGAAAACUAUUUAGUAGAGCUAAAGAAAAACUAGGUAUUUGUGGUGAUAACCAGUCUCAAAAGAAGAGAUCCAAAAUAACCUAAAGUUUCGGACAACCAAUUUGAGCCUGUGCAUCGCACGGGCGUGCAACUAGUAUACCUUAUAACUAUCUGUAAAUAUACAAGGAGAUACAACAGGGAAAUUAGUUUUGAAUUAGGAUUUGGUCUUAUGCAUGUCAGUCAUAGGUUUGUUAGUUGAGAAUUUGCAGCGCAGGUUAUAACAACUACCAUAAAUAGGGGUCCUCCAAAAUUUAAAUGCCAUAUUUGGAUCCGGUAAAUCAUUUGACUGCUGAAGACCUAGUUGACCGUGAGAAAAUUAAUUAGUUCAGCAGGCGAUGUUAUGAAAAUCUAUAUAGGCCACCGAUUCCCCUUCCAUAUAAACUCUAUUCCCAUCACACACAUUAGGUGGUAUAAAAUAAUAGUGCAGCUAUUGACAAAUUUAUUAUGUAAUGUUUUAUUUUUUGGUUUUUCUUUGGUACAAGUAGUAAAGUUACACUAUUUAGGUGAAACUACGAGUUUAUUAGGACGAUAAUUUAUGGAAGAUCUUCGCCUCCACUGCAAUCUGUCUUCAUUUAUUUGUUAAUUCUUCAAACUCUUUCUCAAAUAAUACUUAGCUUAAGAACUUUUCGGUUUGAUGUAAUAUUGUAUGUUUCGGGCUGUCCUGCUAUGGUACACAUGUCGUUUGUAAGCUACUCAGGAUUCUAUAGCCUAGCAGUUUGAGUGGUAAAGUAUGUUGACCGUGUGGUUUCAGCAGUGUAUCUUUAAGGACUCAUACGCUUUUUGUCGAUUCCAACUGUAAUACUAAAAAGAAGGUAGUUGAUUUGGUUAGUUAUCAAUUGGUUAUCCCUGCAAUGGGUACUAAAAAUGUUGUUGGUCGAAUAUAUGCUUCUCAUGCUUAGCAAGAGUUGGUAACAGACACAAGUUUUUAUUGGGAAUUGUAAAAUUUAUCUCAUUGUUUAUAAUACGUGUUCAUUCAUGACCUAAUCUCUGGUAACUAAUUCGGGUUUCAUCAGUUAAAGGCAUUGUAAUUUUGGAUUUUCAAUUAUUCACCCAUUAAUUCGAUGUGUUAUCAUGAAUAGGUAUGAAGAAAACCAUUGCUUUUCUGUCAUGAAUGAUUUCAGUACAUUUUUCAGCUCAUUGUUUGGACUUGAAUGAAUUCUUGACGCAAGAUCCGCAAUAAUUUCAUCCUCAAGAUUUUCCUUCCUAAAGCGUUUUAUCAGGCAUGAAGAAGGAAAAAUUGUUCAAUUCUUUUUUAAUUUUAGCCUUCCUUUUGAAUUUUAGAUUCUUAGUUUUUUGAAAAAAUAAUUUUAUUUGAUCCAUGGGUAUGUACGUAUAAACAUUAAUUUUUGAUGCAGAGGUGUAGAUGGGGCAAAACGAUUUGCUGCUUUUCACGGGAUUGAGGAGAUGAUCGUACGGAGGAGACUCCUUGAACCGAGCGAAAUGUUCAACCUCACACAGAUGCACUGCAAGAAGGGGG
Papaver somniferum (opium poppy) is the source of this 2929-nucleotide RNA transcript. It is a transcript of the gene named enolase-like, with no coding region annotated. The record is from RefSeq and is a predicted model, not a curated record. NCBI's taxonomy places the organism in Eukaryota, Viridiplantae, Streptophyta, Magnoliopsida, Ranunculales, Papaveraceae. The transcript is spliced from 8 exons.